This 200-nucleotide ribosomal RNA is filed under the name uncultured bacterium. Its description in RNAcentral is "partial 16S ribosomal RNA". It matches the Rfam family "Bacterial small subunit ribosomal RNA", at positions 524 to 723 of the family's 1533-position model. The record is from RNAcentral.
UACGUAGGUGGCAAGCGUUGUCCGGAAUUAUUGGGCGUAAAGCGCGCGCAGGCGGUCCUUUAAGUCUGAUGUGAAAGCCCCACGGCUCAACCGUGGAGGGUCAUUGGAAACUGGGGGACUUGAGUACAGAAGAGAAGAGUGGAAUUCCACGUGUAGCGGUGAAAUGCGUAGAGAUGUGGAGAACACCAGUGGCGAAGGCG